This 395-nucleotide ribosomal RNA is filed under the name uncultured bacterium. Its description in RNAcentral is "partial 16S ribosomal RNA". It matches the Rfam family "Bacterial small subunit ribosomal RNA", at positions 338 to 730 of the family's 1533-position model. The record is from RNAcentral.
CCUACGGGAGGCAGCAGUGAGGAAUAUUGGUCAAUGGACGGAAGUCUGAACCAGCCAUGCCGCGUGCAGGAAGAAGGUACUAUGAGUUGUAAACUGCUUUUGUACAAGGGUAAACCUGAAGACGUGUAUUCAGCUGACAGUACCGUACGAAUAAGGAUCGGCUAACUCCGUGCCAGCAGCCGCGGUAAUACGGAGGAUUCAAGCGUUAUCCGGAUUUAUUGGGUUUAAAGGGUGCGUAGGCGGAUUGGUAAGUUAGGGGUGAAAGGUCCGAGCUUAACUCGGGGACUGCCUCUAAUACUGGUGGUCUAGAGUGUGAGUGCGGUAGGCGGAAUGUAUGGUGUAGCGGUGAAAUGCAUAGAUAUCAUGCAGAACACCGAUUGCGAAGGCAGCUUACC